UUUCUCCGAGGCUGGAAUGGGCUA
RNAcentral lists this non-coding RNA (24 nucleotides) under Cricetulus griseus (Chinese hamster). Lineage: Eukaryota; Metazoa; Chordata; Mammalia; Rodentia; Cricetidae. The record is from RNAcentral.